GACGAACGCUGGCGGCGUGCUUAACACAUGCAAGUCGAACGGAAAGGCCCUGCUUUUGUGGGGUGCUCGUGUGGCGAACGGGGGAGUAACACGUGAGUAACCUGCCCUUGUCUUUGGGAUAACUUCAGGAGACUGGGGCUAAUACCGGAUAGGAGCUCCUGCUGCAUGUUGUGGGUUGGAGAGUUUCGGCGGUUGGGGAUGGACUCGCUGCUUAUCCGCUUGUUGGUGUGGUAGUGGCUUACCAAGGCUUUGACGGGUAGCCGGCCUGGGAGCGUGACCGGCCACAUUGGGACUGCGAGACGGACCAGACUCCUACGGGAGGCAGCAGUCGGGAAUAUUGCACAAUGGGCGGAAGCCUGAUGCAGCGACGCCGCGUGCGGGAUGACGGCCUUCGGGUUGUAAACAGCUUUCGCCUGUGACGAAGAGUGAGUGACGGUAAUGGGUAAAGAAGCACCGGCUAACUACGUG
RNAcentral lists this ribosomal RNA (468 nucleotides) under uncultured bacterium. Its description in RNAcentral is "partial 16S ribosomal RNA". It matches the Rfam family "Bacterial small subunit ribosomal RNA", at positions 28 to 507 of the family's 1533-position model. The record is from RNAcentral.